CUACGGGGUGCACCAGUGAGGAAUAUUGCACAAUGGGGGGAACCCUGAUGCAGCAACGCCGCGUGGAGGAUGACGCAUCUCGGUGUGUAAACUCCUUUUAUAUGUCAAGAAAAUGACGGUAGCAUAUGAAUAAGCACCGGCUAACUCCGUGCCAGCAGCCGCGGUAAUACGGAGGGUGCAAGCGGUACUCGGAAUCACUGGGAGUAAAGGACGCGUAGGCGGGUUGGAAAGUCAGGUGUGAAAUCCUACAGCUUAACUGUAGAACUUCACUUGAAACUUCUAAUCUAGAGUAUGGGAGGGGAGAUGGAAUUAGUGGUGUAGGGGUACAAUCCGUAGAUAUCACUAGGAAUACCUAAAGCGAAGGCGAUCUCCUGGAACAUUACUGACGCUAAGGCGUGAAAGCGUGGGGAGCAAACAGGAUUAGAUACCCUUGUAGUC
RNAcentral lists this ribosomal RNA (438 nucleotides) under uncultured bacterium. RNAcentral's name for it is "partial 16S ribosomal RNA". It matches the Rfam family "Bacterial small subunit ribosomal RNA", at positions 339 to 795 of the family's 1533-position model. The record is from RNAcentral.